Molecule: ribosomal RNA, 271 nt
Filed under: uncultured Cenococcum
Lineage: Eukaryota; Fungi; Ascomycota; Dothideomycetes; Gloniales; Gloniaceae
Description: partial 28S ribosomal RNA
Rfam family: Eukaryotic large subunit ribosomal RNA
Source: RNAcentral
UUGACCUCGGAUCAGGCAGGGAUACCCGCUGAACUUAAGCAUAUCAAUAAGCGGAGGAAAAGAAACCAACAGGGAUUGCCUCAGUAACGGCGAGUGAAGCGGCAACAGCUCAAAUUUGAAAUCUGGCUCUUUUAGGGUCCGAGUUGUAAUUUGUAGAGGAUGCUUCGGCGUCGGCUCCGGUCUAAGUUCCUUGGAACAGGACGUCAUAGAGGGUGAGAAUCCCGUAUGUGAUCGGUUGCCUUGCCAUGUGAAGCUCCUUCGACGAGUCGAG